AACGAACGCUGGCGGCAGGCUUAACACAUGCAAGUCGAACGGGUGCAGCAAUGCAUCAGUGGCAGACGGGUGAGUAACACGUGGGAACCUUCCUAGGGGGUACGGAACAACUCAGGGAAACUUGAGCUAAUACCGUAUACGUCCGUAAGGAGAAAGAUUCAUCGCCCCUAGACGGGCCCGCGUCGGAUUAGGUAGUUGGUGGGGUAACGGCCUACCAAGCCUGCGAUCCGUAGCUGAUCUGAGAGGAUGAUCAGCCACACUGGGACUGAGACACGGCCCAGACUCCUACGGGAGGCAGCAGUGGGGAAUCUUGGACAAUGGGCGCAAGCCUGAUCCAGCCAUGCCGCGUGAGUGAAGAAGGCCUUA
Molecule: ribosomal RNA, 366 nt
Filed under: uncultured bacterium
Lineage: Bacteria
Description: bacterial SSU rRNA
Rfam family: Bacterial small subunit ribosomal RNA
Source: RNAcentral